GGCCUUAGCUCAGUGGCAGAGCUUCUGUUUUUCAUGCAGAAGAACCUCGGUUCAAUUUCUGACAUCUCCA
Molecule: transfer RNA, 70 nt
Filed under: Sphaerodactylus townsendi
Lineage: Eukaryota; Metazoa; Chordata; Lepidosauria; Squamata; Sphaerodactylidae
Description: tRNA-Glu
Source: RNAcentral